GGAGGCAUGCCUGUGAGGUUGCAAACCUCUUUUAUCAGGGAAGAACAUCUGACGGUACCUGAUGAAUCAGCAUCGGCUAACUCCGUGCCAGCAGCCGCGGUAAGACGGAGGAUGCAAGCGUUAUCCGGAAUUAUUGGGCGUAAAGCGUCCGCAGGUGGCCUGUUAAGUCUGCUGUUAAAGCCCAGGGCUUAACUCUGGAUCAGCGGUGGAAACUGGCAGGCUAGAGUACGGUAGGGGUAGAGGGAAUUCCUGGUGUAGCGGUGAAAUGCGUAGAUAUCAGGAAGAACACCGGUGGCGAAAGCGCUCUACUGGGCCGUAACUGACACU
This 327-nucleotide ribosomal RNA is filed under the name Synechococcus sp. KUAC 3083. Its description in RNAcentral is "bacterial SSU rRNA". It matches the Rfam family "Bacterial small subunit ribosomal RNA", at positions 406 to 747 of the family's 1533-position model. The record is from RNAcentral. Lineage: Bacteria; Bacillati; Cyanobacteriota; Cyanophyceae; Synechococcales; Synechococcaceae.